AUUAUAUCAAGAAGACCAAAACUCUCUCUUUCUCUCUCACGAAACCAUCACCAAAACCCAUGGUGGGUUCCAAAUUUCUUGUUGAAAUCGUUGUUAGCCAUCUCUAUUGUCUCUAUAAAGAUCCAAAUAUCAAAGGCACCAUCCAUUUUGAGGGAUUUUGGAGGAGAAAAACCAUGGAUCUAAAGCUAGAUCGAGGUUAUCAAUAGCAAUGGCUGGAGGAAAAUAAGCUUUAGAGGCGGUAAGAUUCGUGACGCUUAGAGGAUGUGUAUCGAUGGUGAAUGGAGUCAAGGGGCCGAGCGUUAUUCGAUUCGAGGAUGUAGUCUUGUAUUUACUUUUUUAUGGUUUUACAUGUAUUUUCCGCAUUUUCUAUGUAACUCUUUUCACUUUAAGUUAUUUUUGUUUUAAAGACAAUGGGUACCCAUAUCCUACUUAUUUUUAUGAAAGUAACAUUUGUUUCUACAAGUUUAUAAU
Molecule: long non-coding RNA, 471 nt
Organism: Humulus lupulus (European hop)
Lineage: Eukaryota; Viridiplantae; Streptophyta; Magnoliopsida; Rosales; Cannabaceae
Exons: 3
Source: RefSeq, a predicted model, not a curated record